RNAcentral lists this ribosomal RNA (395 nucleotides) under uncultured bacterium. Its description in RNAcentral is "partial 16S ribosomal RNA". It matches the Rfam family "Bacterial small subunit ribosomal RNA", at positions 523 to 918 of the family's 1533-position model. The record is from RNAcentral.
AUACGUAGGGUGCAAGCGUUAAUCGGAAUUACUGGGCGUAAAGCGUGCGCAGGCGGUUUUGUAAGACAGAGGUGAAAUCCCCGGGCUCAACCUGGGAACUGCCUUUGUGACUGCAAGGCUAGAGUACGGCAGAAGGGGAUGGAAUUCCGGGGGUAGCAGGGGAAUGCGUAGAUAUGCGGAGGAACACCGAUGGCGAAGGCAAUCCCCUGGGCCUGUACUGACGCUCAUGCACGAAAGCGUGGGGAGCAAACAGGAUUAGAUACCCUGGUAGUCCACGCCCUAAACGAUGUCAACUGGUUGUUGGGUCUUCAUUGACUCAGUAACGAAGCUAACGCGUGAAGUUGACCGCCUGGGGAGUACGGCCGCAAGGUUGAAACUCAAAUGAAUUGACGGGG